This 443-nucleotide ribosomal RNA is filed under the name uncultured bacterium. Its description in RNAcentral is "partial 16S ribosomal RNA". It matches the Rfam family "Bacterial small subunit ribosomal RNA", at positions 338 to 795 of the family's 1533-position model. The record is from RNAcentral.
CCUACGGGUGGCAGCAGUGGGGAAUAUUGCACAAUGGGGGAAACCCUGAUGCAGCAACGCCGCGUGAGGGAAGACGGUUUUCGGUUUGUAAACUUCUAUCAACAGGGAAGAAAGAAAUGACAGUACCUAAAUAAGCACCCCCUGCUAACUACGUGCCAGCAGCCGCUGUAAUACGUAGGGGGCAAGCGUUAUCCGGAAUUACUUGGUGUAAAGGGAGAGUAGGCGGCAAGGUAAGCGAUAUGUGAAAGCCUUAAGCUUAACGUAAAGAUGGCAUAACGAACUAUCUAGCUAGAGUACAGGAGAGGAAAGCGGAAUUCCUAGUGUAGCGGUGAAAUGCGUAGAUAUUAGGAAGAACACCAGUGGCGAAGGCGGCUUUCUGGACUGAAACUGACGCUGAGGCUCGAAAGCGUGGGGAGCGAACAGGAUUAGAUACCCCAGUAGUC